RNAcentral lists this long non-coding RNA (227 nucleotides) under Gossypium raimondii (Peruvian cotton). RNAcentral describes it as "long non-coding RNA (GRAI_LNC003053)". The record is from RNAcentral. Lineage: Eukaryota; Viridiplantae; Streptophyta; Magnoliopsida; Malvales; Malvaceae.
UCUGUUUUCCUCCCUUCACCAUUUCUUUUAAUGUAGUUUUUUUUAAUAUUUUCCAUUUGUUAAAACUAGUCCCUAUACUUUUAUUUUUUUCUUGAACAAUUUAAUUUUUAAUUUUUAUUUCUUUAUUUGUUAAAGCAAAUUAUCUUUGAUUACAAACUCUGUGUGUAAACCCAAAGAUCGUUUUUGAUCAUUGCAAGAUGAAUAAAAUCGAUCUUAUUGCAUUAAUC